Oreochromis aureus is the source of this 4738-nucleotide long non-coding RNA. Lineage: Eukaryota; Metazoa; Chordata; Actinopteri; Cichliformes; Cichlidae. The record is from Ensembl.
GAGGCAGCUGGAACAAACCAUUUUGGGAGUGGAGGAUUAUCUCUACUGUUGUUGUUAAAAUGUUACGUCUCAAACAAGUACAGUAAGGAUCGUUCCCAUUUGAACCCACUACAAACCUUAACGGAGGAAGAAGAUGCAGUCCUGCGCAUUGAUGAAUGGACAACACCAGCAGAUUAGACAAGCCUCUCAGCCCUCGCAAGCUGCUCCUUAUCAUGCCCACGAUGCAACAAGAAAUCUGCAAUCUUGGACUCCAACUCAAACCAUCCACUAUCAAGCAAGAAACCUAGGAGUCCAAAAUGUACACUCUGAACAUUUCCCUUUGCACAAUGGAGCUUAUUCUAACAGACAAAUGUCAAAUUUGCAGACUUCUGCAGGAACUUAUCAGGAGGUUUCUUCUCAGCAGACCGGUGGAGGCAAUAACAAUAGUUAUUUUUCUGAUAUGUUAUUUAACUAUAUUCAAAAUGUAUCAGCUAAUAAGCAAAGUGGAAACCCAUCUUUGCCAGCCUCUGGAUUUCAGAUUCCCACUCUGCAAGACUGUGAUCAGAAUUCAUCAACUCAGAGUCCAUCUAACCAGAUGAACUCAAACGCUACAUAUACCCAGCAAGGCAUGUCCACUCAUUGGAAAGAGUCAGUGGUUGUUAAUGAGAGACAAAUGAUAGGAACACGGGAUAGAACUGUGACUGAUAUCCAGCAUGCCCGUGUUCAGCAGGGCAUGCAACAGAAUGUGAAUGGAGACUUGACAAAACCCAUUUCAGCGUACACUACACCAACUAUCUCAUUUCCAGCUGAACGUGGUUUAUGUACCAGCACUAUGAUGUCUGGCUCUGAACAGACUGUGUACCUUGUUCCGAACAAUCAGGUUCAGAGACAAAGCGGCACUCAGCAUGGAUUCUCUCCUGUCAUCUCACAGAGUUACAAUAUGGGAACCUCUCAGACUUCAGGAAACAAUAACACUGCAACAUAUCCACCAUCAAGUGCACAGAAUUCUUACUUUUCCACCACGAGCCACAAAACUCAGCAACACUCGGCUCAGCACCAAUUAAGACACAACAAUGGGAUCAAGACUGCCACCUACAAUAACUCAAAUUUUUAUAAAAAGUAUGAAAAUAUUACUCACUCUGCAAAAAUGAGAGCGCGUCAGAUAAAAACUUCUACACAACAGAAAGUGAUCAGGCACUCAUUAAGUGCAGAUAGUUUAAAUAAUUCAUGUACUCCUGGGUCUGAUGGUUGUCCUGCUCCUCCACCAUACAGCUAUUCAAAUCACAGACGGCAGCAGUUUGUCAGAACGACCACAAUGAUCGUGUCUAAUCAAUCUAAUAUUCAACCUGGGACUUCGGCUACCCCUAAAAAUUAUAGUAACUUGAAUGCCAUCAAGUUAUUACCCGGCCAUUCUGGACAGUCUUUACCUCAAAGCACUCAAAGUGUAAUGUCAAGAACACAGCAUGCUGUAAGUAGACCCCAUCAGCAAACCUGUGUACCUAACAGUUUCCACAAAUCUGCUGCAGGAAAUGAAAAAAGCCCAAGUAAGGAAAACAAUGAAAUUCAUUCUAAAAAGAACUGUAGCUUAAUUGAAUUGUUGCUUGGUUCAUCCCUGCUGCCGGAAUCUGCUGACAGCAAGACACGAUCAUCAGUAGCAAGCAGUUUUGAGACGCUACCAUCAGUCCAGUUAAACGACAGCUCUGUUCACUCAUCACCUGGAAACGCCGGCACCAAAGCUGUUGCUGUUGUACAACCGCUGCCGUCACUGGAAAGUCAGCUUCACAAUGACCAUGCUUCUUGUGAUUCCACAGCAGGAGACUCUUUAAACAACCCUAAGAAAACUUUUGCUUUGGAUACCACAGCAAUUAACAAAACGCUGCCAACUACAGAGUCAGGGACACAAAACACAGGGAAACAGUCUGAACUGGAUGUUAAUGUUCAAAAUUCAAUUCCAUCCCAAGAAUCAGUAAGCCAAAAUUCUCCUGAAGACCAAAGUGGGAUUCAGACACUUUCAACAUCACCCGUUUCUGACCUUUCCGCACUCCCAACAGCCCCAUGGACAUUAUUGGCACUAACGAAGUUGAUAAAAGAUGCAGAAAAGAAUCAGAAAGAGCCCAGCGAUUUGAAAGAAUUACACACUGCACAAAAAAUAUUAGACCUGUUUUGGGAGGGAAAACUUGAAACAUUACAAAUGUACUCAAGCAAGGUAUGCUUUCUCCAGGUUUUAGAAGUUAAAGACUUCUGCAAAAAAUAUUUAACAGCCAACUCUGUUGUACUGUUGGAGGUAGAUGGCAAUUUUGAGGAGCAAAUGAAAAGCUACCAUGUCCUCAAAGACAAUGAAGUAUUUUCAGAAUUGCCUUACAAAUCAUCAUGGUUAAAUCUAAAUGAGCAGUUGGAUGAAAUAGACAAAGAAUUUGGUUUCCCAUUGUCUUUGAAACAUCACACUUUAUUGCUUGAGAGUGAUGGCCAGAAAGAUCAGAUGCACAUCAACAACAGUGAUCCUGCAAUUGUGAGUAAAGUGCCAAGCAAGGUCUUGCCAUUAAAAGAUUUUGAACCUGUUGAUUCAAAUGAAGGAAAAGAAACCACCACACUUGAACCCCCCUCAAUUCAAACUUCCUCCCCUAAUCAGACAGAUGGUUCCAGUGACCCAUGUUUGUCACUGAAAAUCCAAGUUAUGCCUCCAGAAGAAGCCAGACGUUACCAUGAGCAAAUGGAAAAUGCGAUGCCACAAAGUAUGGAUGCAGAGAGGGUCGUAGGUAGUUUCACGGAGAGUGAGACACCUGAUAAUACAGAGUCCACAUCGAGGAAAUCAGAAUUGGAAACGGUGGAAAUUGGCAUAAGUCAGUCGCUUUGCUGUCUUACAAAGCUGUUGGAAAUGACUAUAGGGUCAAGUACACCUUCUGAUUGUAAAUGCCACAGCCAGAAAGAACAAAAGUAUAGAAAAUGGAUCAACAAGACCAGUGAUAUUGGCGAAACAGUUGUACUAAAGCACAAUAACCAGUUUGGGAAGGAUCCAGUAAAGGACAAGGAGAACACUGAUGAUCAAGUUGUGACAUUUAGUGGCCCUGAGUUUUGUAGCCUUCUUGAUCAAGCCAUAGAUUUGACUGAAGAUGAUGACCAACCUCAUUCGCCUUCUGAACUAAAUUCUAAGAACCACUGCAAAAUAGCCAAUACCAGUCAUUCAAGUGUUAUAUUUAUAAAUGAUGAAGAUGAAGAUCUCUCCAGUGGUGAAAACGAAAUUCUUAGCCAGAAGACAGAUCUUGCCAUAAAGAUGUCUGAACGUGACGAUAAGUGUGGACAAGAACAACCGAAGUCUAAACCAUUGAGUCUGUCAGGUGCCUCAGUCAGUACUGACAAAGCUGAAACUGACAAAUUCUGCAGCACUGAGACUGAGAUUGCCAUCCAGCUCCUGGAUCAUGGCAGGAGUUGUGAAGAAGCUUUAGAUGUGCCAGCAUCCCCUUUGAAAACCACAGAGCAAUCUCAAAUCUGUGCUAACAGUGACUUUAAAGCAUCUGUGAAGCAUAAAAAAACCAAAAGAAAACACAAGAGACUCGAAUGGGAUAAUGAAUUUGGUCCACCCCAAAAGGAAUCAAAGAAAUGCAACUCACCUGUUGAUCUUAAUUUAGAACAUGCCCUUGAUGGUGUUUCAAAAUGUGAAAAAGAGCCUGAUGUUGAAGCUGAAGCUCUCAAUAUAGACUCAAAAAGAACUGCAGAACUGGUGCUGUUUGGCUCAGCUCAACAAGACAAGUGUGCUUUAACUGGCAGCAGAAAAGCCCAUUCCCCUUUUGUAAAGAAUGCGUCUAAGGCAGCACACCCGAGGCCUCCAGAAGUUCUUACUGUCAAUCUCAACCCUUUGAGUAGCAAGUUCAGUGACACGGUCUACAACAGGAAUUAUUCAGUCAAACAACUAAUUCAUGACAAAUGGUGGAGAAGUUUUCAACCGACUAAAGCCAGUCACAAAAAAAAACUUAAACGCCGUUCUUACUCUGUAGCUGGGGGUAGCUUGAUGAAACGAGAUGAAACUAAGGACUCCCGGAAUCUGAAGACGCUUGGAGAGGAGAAGAAGGAUAUCAUCGCUGAUAAUAAGAGACGUUCCUCUAAAAAUGAAAGCCAAAAUGUCAAACCUUGCCAGGAGCACAUAGUCUUGAGGUUCAGUGUUCUACCCAGUAACUUUGACCUCAAAGAUGGAUCCAGUGGCAGGAAGGAAUCCACCAAUCCAGUUUCAGAAGAGCGUACCGUCUUUACAGAUAAGCCAGAAAAAGAGCAGAGCGCUGCUACAGCUGUCACAAAACCAAAAGGUAAAUGGGGUUCGAGUCUGCAGAAGAAUAGACCUCAACAUAUUCCCAAGACCUUCAGCCUCUUCCACGAGUAUCAGAAGAAAUACAAAGAGCGGGCUCACUCAAAAGAUGAAUAAUGUGAAAGAUGUCUUUUCUCAGGGAAUAUUUUUUUCAUUAAAGACAUUUAGUACAAAGAUUUUGACUAAAAUUAUGCCUUUGUAACUUUUUGUUGUUUACAUGCCUGUAAAAAGCGUUACAGUCAUGAGCAGGUGUAGUUACUGACUUUUCGAGACGUGGGAAUUUGGCAACCUUUACGAAUGUGUUCAAGUAAUGACAUUCUGUCUUGGUUAUUAUUGUGUCACUGCUCCUUGUCGGUUCUCCACUGUACUCGGGACAGUGGAGAAAGGAAGACAUGGUGUUUGCUGUUGGUGCAGUUCUGUUUAAUGAGCUGAGAAGCUCUGAAGAUGAAUGAAAGGUGCGCG